This 789-nucleotide ribosomal RNA is filed under the name Actinopyga echinites. Its description in RNAcentral is "partial large subunit ribosomal RNA". The stretch from base 1 to 663 matches the Rfam family "Bacterial large subunit ribosomal RNA", at positions 1817 to 2925 of the family's 2925-position model. Lineage: Eukaryota; Metazoa; Echinodermata; Holothuroidea; Aspidochirotida; Holothuriidae. The record is from RNAcentral.
AGCUCCCUGAAAAAAUAGGGGGUCUAGCCUGCCCAGUGGUCCAAGACUAAACGGCCGCGGUAUAUUGACCGUGCAAAGGUAGCAUAAUCACUUGUCUUUUAAAUGAAGACUUGUAUGAACGGAAUUACCUUUCUUAACUGUCUCCCCUGCUUUUCUCUGAAACUCGUAUUUAGGUGAAGAACCCUAAAUAACAUAGAAAGACGAGAAGACCCUGUCGAGCUUCAGCUAAAAAAGGAGUCUAAGUAAAACUCACACAUCCUACUACAGCUUUGGUUGGGGCAACCACGGAGAAUAAUAAUCCUCCGGAAAUUGUGGAAGAUAAAUCUCUUCCCCACACACAAAAAAAGAACCAGAAUCUGGAAAACGGAAAAAGCUACCGCAGGGAUAACAGCGUUAUCUCCUCCAAGAGUUCAUAUUGACGAGGAGGCUUGCGACCUCGAUGUUGGAUUGGGGCACCCACAGGGUGCAGAAGCUCUGAAAGGUCGGACUGUUCGUCCGUUAAAGCCCUACAUGAUCUGAGUUCAGACCGACGUGAGUCAGGUCAGCUUCUAUCUUCUGACUGAUGUCUCUCCAGUACGAAAGGACCGAGAUACCCCUUUAAAUAGUUAACUCCAAAAAGGACUAAAAAAUUAAAAAUUCACAAACAAAGAACACUCUGAGCUAAAAACGAAGCAAGCUCAAAAACAAGAAAUUUACUACCUGCUAUAGAUUUAACUUAAAAAAGAAUUUUUAAUUUUUAGAAAAGACCCCCCCCUUGUUAGUUUUUAAAAGUCAAAUAAAUUACAAAUC